This 332-nucleotide ribosomal RNA is filed under the name uncultured Bdellovibrio sp. RNAcentral describes it as "bacterial SSU rRNA". It matches the Rfam family "Bacterial small subunit ribosomal RNA", at positions 568 to 898 of the family's 1533-position model. The record is from RNAcentral. Lineage: Bacteria; Pseudomonadati; Bdellovibrionota; Bdellovibrionia; Bdellovibrionales; Pseudobdellovibrionaceae.
CGCGUAGGCGGACCUGUAAGUCAGAUGUGAAAUCUCGGGGCUCAACCUCGAAACUGCGUCUGAAACUGCAGGUCUAGAAUCUUGGAGGGGGAAGGGGAAUUUCGCAUGUAGGGGUAAAAUCCGUAGAUAUGCGAAGGAACACCAGAGGCGAAGGCGCCUUCCUGGACAAGUAUUGACGCUGAGGCGCGAAAGCGUGGGGAUCAAACAGGAUUAGAUACCCUGGUAGUCCACGCUGUAAACGAUGAAUACUAGGUAUUGGAGGAUUUGACCCCUUCAGUGCCGUAGCUAACGCGUUAAGUAUUCCGCCUGGGAAGUACGGUCGCAAGACUAAA